GUAGCACAAUCACUUGUCCCUUAAAUGGGGACGCGUAUGAAAGGCAACAUGAGAGAAAACCUGUCUCCUAAGGAAUGCCAAUGAAAUUGAACUGCCAGUUCAAAAGCUGGUAUAAAAAAGCAAGACAAAAAGACCCUGUGGAACUUUAAUUAACUGCUUUACAUAAUACAAACCAGUAAUUUCAGUUGGGACAACUUUAGAAAAAAUAAACUUCCUAAUUUUACUAGACUAACUAGUCCAAAACAACCAUGACCCAGUAGUACUGAUUAACGAAACAAGCUACCCCAGGGAUAACAGCGCUACCUUCUCAAAGAGUUCAUAUCAACAAGAAGAUCUACGACCUCGAUGUUGGAUCAGGGUACCCAGACGGUGCAGCAGCUGUCAAUGGUUCGUUUGUUCAACGAUUAAUACCCU
This 414-nucleotide ribosomal RNA is filed under the name Furcifer lateralis (carpet chameleon). RNAcentral describes it as "partial 16S ribosomal RNA". It matches the Rfam family "Bacterial large subunit ribosomal RNA", at positions 1956 to 2597 of the family's 2925-position model. The record is from RNAcentral. Lineage: Eukaryota; Metazoa; Chordata; Lepidosauria; Squamata; Chamaeleonidae.